AUUGAACGCUGGCGGCAUGCCUUACACAUGCAAGUCGAACGGCAGCACGGGUGCUUGCCCCUGGUGGCGAGUGGCGAACGGGUGAGUAAUACAUCGGAACAUGUCCUGUAGUGGGGGAUAGCCCGGCGAAAGCCGGAUUAAUACCGCAUACGAUCUACGGAUGAAAGCGGGGGACCUUCGGGCCUCGCGCUAUCGGGUUGGCCGAUGGCUGAUUAGCUAGUUGGUGGGGUAAAGGCCUACCAAGGCGACGAUCAGUAGCUGGUCUGAGAGGACGACCAGCCACACUGGGACUGAGACACGGCCCAGACUCCUACGGGAGGCAGCAGUGGGGAAGUUUGGACAAUGGGCGAAAGCCUGAUCCAGCAAUGCCGCGUGUGUGAAGAAGGCCUUCGGGUUGUAAAGCACUUUUGUCCGGAAAGAAAUCCUUGGCCCUAAUACGGUCGGGGGAUGACGGUACCGGAAGAAUAAGCACCGGCUAACUACGUG
Molecule: ribosomal RNA, 486 nt
Filed under: uncultured bacterium
Lineage: Bacteria
Description: partial 16S ribosomal RNA
Rfam family: Bacterial small subunit ribosomal RNA
Source: RNAcentral